RNAcentral lists this unclassified non-coding RNA (406 nucleotides) under soil metagenome. RNAcentral's name for it is "partial contains 5.8S ribosomal RNA, internal transcribed spacer 2, and large subunit ribosomal RNA". The stretch from base 1 to 121 matches the Rfam family "5.8S ribosomal RNA", at positions 35 to 154 of the family's 154-position model. The record is from RNAcentral.
GAUGAAGAACGUAGCGAAAUGCGAUAAGUAAUGUGAAUUGCAGAAUUCAGUGAAUCAUCGAAUCUUUGAACGCACCUUGCGCCCUUUGGCUAUUCCGAAGGGCAUGCCUGUUUGAGUAUCAUGAACACCUCAACUCUCAUGGCUUGCCAUGAAGAGCUUGGACUAUGGGGGUCUUGCUGGCCUGUGGUCGGCUCCUCUCAAAUGAAUCAGCUUGCCGGUGUUUGGUGGCGUCACAGGUGUGAUAACUAUCUACGCUUGUGGUGUUUUCCACCAGGUAACCUUCAGCAAUGGAGGUUCGCUGGGGCUCAUAAAAGUCUCUCCUCGGUGAGGACAGCUCUUUUUGAACGUUUGCUCUCAAAUCAGGUAGGACUACCCGCUGAACUUAAGCAUAUCAAUAAGCGGAGGA